GGAGAGGUGGCAGAGUGGUCGAAUGUACCUGACUCGAAAUCAGGCGUACGGUUAUCCGUACCGUGGGUUCGAAUCCCACCCUCUCCGCCA
Molecule: transfer RNA, 90 nt
Filed under: Achromobacter sp.
Lineage: Bacteria; Pseudomonadati; Pseudomonadota; Betaproteobacteria; Burkholderiales; Alcaligenaceae
Also listed under: 3 other names
Description: tRNA-Ser
Rfam family: tRNA
About the family: Transfer RNA (tRNA) molecules are approximately 80 nucleotides in length. Their secondary structure includes four short double-helical elements and three loops (D, anti-codon, and T loops).
Source: RNAcentral